Molecule: ribosomal RNA, 253 nt
Filed under: uncultured bacterium
Lineage: Bacteria
Description: partial 16S ribosomal RNA
Rfam family: Bacterial small subunit ribosomal RNA
Source: RNAcentral
UACGAAGGGGGCUAGCGUUGUUCGGAAUCACUGGGCGUAAAGCGCGCGUAGGCGGAUUGUUAAGUCAGGGGUGAAAUGCCGAGGCUCAACCUCGGAACUGCCUUUGAUACUGGCAAUCUUGAGUCCGGGAGAGGUGAGUGGAACUCCUAGUGUAGAGGUGAAAUUCGUAGAUAUUAGGAAGAACACCAGUGGCGAAGGCGGCUCACUGGCCCGGAACUGACGCUCAUGCACGACAGCGUGGGGAUCAAACAGG